GUUGUUCUUAGAGAAGUCUGUCACUGUUCAGAAAUGAAAUAUGUUAUGCCGAAGGAAAUGUGUAUUGGUGAAUAUGUUAAAAGGAGAAGAUAUUGAGUUAUUGAAAAGGAUUCAGGGGAGGGCUACUAGGAUGAUUUCAGCUUUACAGGUUCUGAUAAAAAAAAACAAACAAACCUUGAUUUGAAGUAGAUUAUGAGUGAUGAAGAGUGGGAAAAUGCUCUUUGUCAGCAUUAUAGAAAAGAAGCUUUGCAAGACAAUCUUCAUCUGCACUUCUGUCAAGACAAACAAUUUGCUUUCACCAUAGCCAGCUGGGAGUUUUAUGACACAGCAUAAUUUACUAUAUGUAUUGCCUGAUUAAUCCUUGGCAAUGUUUUGUUCCAUUCUGAUCAGGACUUGAGAAAUUUGGCAUGAUGGAGUUAGAGAUUAAAUCAAACUUAUUUGCUUGACUUAUAAGAUGGACAAGAACUCCCAGGUAAGUAAAUUGAAAUUUGUGAAAUAAAUGGUAUAUUAUUUUGUGGUCAAAGCCACUUGUAAACACCAUAAAAAUAUGAAAGUUGUCAUAAAUUCUAUAUUAUGUAUAUGUAUACAUAUUUUCAAGAUGUAACUUACCAACUGUUAAGGUCAGAUUUUAAUCAAUCAACGUGAACUUCCCAUAGUAAUAUUACAUAUUCAUAUGAAAUAAGGAGGUAGAUACUUCAAUAUUUAACUUCUUACUGAAAAGCCAGAUCAUAAUAUGAGAAUGCUAUAUUAUCACAUGAAAAAGGAUUUAGUUUGUUAUUUGUACAAUAGCCGAAUGACCAAUACAAGUAUUGAUGGAAUUUCAUAUUUCAAUGCAUUUCAUACAAUGCACUAUGAUACAGUCAUUUACUUUGCUAUCUGAGAUAAGAUGUUUAUGGGAAUUACUGUAAUAAAAAACCUCAAGCUACGUGUAUUUAAUGUGGAUAUUUAUCAUGUGAAGUUAUACAUAUUUAUGGAGAAGUAGCUAAUUACAUACGUUAUCUUUAGUUGCAGCUGAUGUAAAUGUUUAUCCUUAAAGUCACUGUUAUUGUUGUGUUCCAUAUUAUUUUGGAUUUAAUAGUUUGGUGUGAUGUUGAAAAUAUUGGUUGCUGAUGUAAUGUUGUAGUUAUUAAUUUAUCAAUUUUUUACAUUAAUCAGUUAUUUAUUUUAAAGGAUAAUAAACUUUUUUUUCCUAUGUUUAAUGUAAGCAUGGUCGCAAGGUGAAUUUCUUUUAUAAUUGUUUUCAAUUCAAAAAGGUUUCCUUUGUCUAUAUCUGUGUACUUGUUGUUAGAGUAAAAACACUACCAACUUUCCUGAAAUUUUGUUAAACUAUACAAGUCAAGUAAACAAUACAUGAUUUAGAAUAUCAGUUCUUUAUUAGUGGAUUGUACCCUGCUGGGGAGAAGGGGCAUCAAACUUUCCCAGGGAGGGGGGUGAUCACUUGA
Long non-coding RNA from Limulus polyphemus (Atlantic horseshoe crab), 1442 nucleotides. RefSeq lists it as uncharacterized. NCBI's taxonomy places the organism in Eukaryota, Metazoa, Arthropoda, Merostomata, Xiphosura, Limulidae. The record is from RefSeq and is a predicted model, not a curated record. The transcript is spliced from 3 exons.